Molecule: long non-coding RNA, 471 nt
Filed under: Anolis carolinensis (green anole)
Lineage: Eukaryota; Metazoa; Chordata; Lepidosauria; Squamata; Anolidae
Description: lncRNA (ENSACAG00000038693.1)
Source: RNAcentral
ACCGUGGUUAAUUUUAGUGACUUGAACUUAAUGUUACAUCUAAGAAUCCAUAUCCAAAACCAUAGUCUGGUGCCACAUGCUCACUAAAGGUCCUGCCGCAUAAGUAAAUUGAAUCACAAAUUGAAUCAAAUUGGGUUUCCUCUGCCUAUAUCAGCUGGAGAUAAAUCAGAGUGAGAAGAUUUACAGCUUUCCUGUUUGUCUACAUCACACCACCGAGCACAAGGAGCAUUGGCCAAGGGAGAGAACCAGGUGUAGCCAAUGAAAAGCAUGUAGUACAGAAGGAUAAGGACCUUAUCAGAUGCAGUGAGAAAAGCGUCUUCUCCCCACUUCUUUCCGCUGCUAUCACAGAGUCCCACGGAGCCCAUCAUAUGAUGCAGGGCUACUUCCAGUGAGGCUCCGUUUCUGCAGCGUUGUGGCAGUGGAGCCUAGAGGAGUUCUCAUUGGAGAACAGAAGAAAAGCCGAAGAGGAAG